This is a long non-coding RNA of Bactrocera neohumeralis, 3762 nucleotides long. RefSeq lists it as uncharacterized. The record is from RefSeq and is a predicted model, not a curated record. NCBI's taxonomy places the organism in Eukaryota, Metazoa, Arthropoda, Insecta, Diptera, Tephritidae. The transcript has 8 exons.
GAGCAGCUCAGAUAUUUAAUGCUUUUCCGGUUGGCAGUUACAUGUGUUGGCCGUAAUGAAUAUAACUACAGACUACACAGUUUUUGAGCUCAAUCAAUUUGGGUAGUUUUUGGCUCGCCAGUCGUCCAAGCGAUUCAAAAACUGGUCUUAUCCACAACUUUAAGAAACGCUAACAAAACUACUGCUCCCAACAUAGAAAGAUGGUUGGCACCACUACACAUGCUUAAGGAGACAUGACGGAAGAUUUCCAUAUGUAAAAACAUGUGCAAACGACCAAACAUUGUUGGGAGAAUAUAUUAUACUACACUUCUAGCUCUUUGACCUACACUGAGUAACGCUCUGCACACAUAGAGCGCGACAGACUGCAAGCAACAUCUGUCAAAUAUUAAAAUACACAUGUUCUUAAGGACACAGCUAUUGAGAUAAGUGCACAACUACAUAACUGUGUCCAUAACAACGUGAGUAUUUUAAUAUUUGACAGAUGUCGCUUGCAGUCUGUCGCGCUCUAUGCGUUCAGCACAUAAGUCGUGCUCUCUAGUUUGCAAUAUGCGCUGGGCGCUCUUCGCUUUAUGCUGCCUUGCUGAAGCUGCUGCGCAAAUGGAUAAGUUAUGUAAUCGCAAAAAAGAGAGUUUAAGUAAAUGAGCAACAUAAAACGGAAAGAGAGUGUAUGGGAAACGGAAAUGAACUGCAAAAGCGAACUCUACGACAUAAGGGGAACGGAAAUGAAUUUUGUAAAAGGUUUACUAUUAAAAAAGGGCAAUUAAUGGUGAGAAAUUGAGAGCAAUAAGUGCAAUCAGCAUAUAUUUGUGAGUAAAUAUAAAAAAAUAACUCGUCGAUGACAAUAACUCGGCGGUUUUGGUGCCUAACUGCGUUAAUUGCCAAAUAAUAGUGAGCAGACAUAAACUUUUUGGAAAAUUUGGCAAAAGUGUUUAAAUUUCAUUAGAGUGCGAAGAACUUUUUGUAAAAAACAGAAGUGAUCAUUAUAAAAAACGUGAACUUAUAUACAUGAAAAUUAAAAACUGAAAUCGGUAUUGAGAAAUCGGCUUGUGUCGGUUUUGUUCGGCUUAAAAUGUGACGUAAUUUUUCGCGCAGCAAUCGCUGGACAUUUGUGAGAGCAGGGCAUAACUGGAAACCGCUCAAAACAGAAAUAGUGGUUUGGGUGUAUUGACAUAAAGAGUUUAAGUAAUUGGGAAAUCAGAGUUAACUGUAUGCGAGCCUGUAUAUGUGUGUAUAUUUAUUCUAAAACUGAAUAAGCCAAAGAGAUACUUUGCGGCUAUCAAUUAUAGUUUCUAAUAAUCUAUAUGUAAUAUAAAAACACAAUGCUAAUACAACAGCAAAGUGUAAUUGAAUAUAACAAAAAUUUUGAGAAAUAAAAGCUCAAAAAAAUCACAGAACUUUCAGUAAAAAGUGAGAAAAAACUUAUAAAGUGCUUAUUACUGUUGCGACUACUUCAAUGCACUUCGGUUCGCGAUUGAGAUUGAUCGGUUCGGUUCGCGUGCGUGUAAAGCUGUGUAUUCAAAAGGCAAGUGCUGUCCAGUGUUGUCAGUUUAAUAAAAGUGUAGUGUUCAUAGAAAAAGUGAGAAAGUAGUGAUAUCAAUUAUUUUAUAAAAAAGUUCAGUCCAAUAUAAAAAUGUGUGGUCUUUUAAAAAUAAAAAUAAAGUGGUAAAUAAUGCAAGUUGAAAUGAUAAAUGUGUGUGUGUGUUUUCAAAAAUAAAAGAGGCAUAGCCCCAAUUGUGUUCGAUUCGUUUCGUAUAAUAAUCGUUAUACCGUUCGUGCUCGUUCUAUAAAAAUUAUUGUGUCGUAAAAAAUCCUGGACCAGCUGGAGAAGGCUUCCACUUCAUAGAAAUAGUUUAACGCAUUCUCCACUCAAACACCAGCCGAAAUCUGCUAAGCUCAACUUUUCUGCAGCUACGGCUUACUCGCAAAUGAAGCAACCAUUCAGCACUUAGCCAUCACGGUUCUGCUCCUUACUGCCGGCAGCUGCUAUUAUUGCAGAAACGCUAACAUGACUACUGCUAUCAACAUAAAUCAGAAGAGAAGAGACAAUACACGCACUUAAAGAGACAUUCCAGAAGAUAUACAUAUGUAUAUAAAUAUCAAUACGAAUAUCUGUAAGCGAAUAAGAAUUGUUGGGAGAACAUAUUAUACUAAACUCUUUGCUCUUUAAUUUGCACUGAGUAUGUCGUGCUCUUUAGUUUGCAAUAUGCGCUGGCCGCUUUUCGCUCUGAAGCCCUGCUGAAGCUACUGCGCAAUUGGUUAAGUUGUCUGCGUUCGUAGUUGUGGCGCUAGCGUUAUGUAAUCGCUCUAAAGAGAGUUUAAGUAAAUGAGCAACAUAAAACGGAAGGAGAGUGUAUGGGAAACGGAAAUGAACUGCAUAAGCGAACUCUAAUACAAAAAGGGGAACGGAAAUGAAUUUUAUAAAAGUUUUACAAUUAAAAAGGGGUAAUUGAUGGUGAGAAAUUGAGAGCAAUAAGCGCAAUUGGCUUAUAUUUGUAAGCAUUUCCAAGAAAAUGACUAGUCGAUGACAAUAACUCCUCAGUACUGGUGUCCAACUGCGUUAAUUGCUAAAAAAUAUUGAGCAGACAUAAACUUUUUUAGAAAUUUUGGCAAAAGUGAUUAAAUUUCAUUAGAUAGUGAAGUGCUUUUUGCAAAAAAUAGAAGCGAUAAUUGUAUAAAAACUUAAACUUAAAUAAUUAACUGGAAAUUAAAAACGGAAAUCUGUAUACAAAAUGAAAGUCGGCUUGUGUCGUUUCCGUUCGUCUUAAAAUGUGUCGUAAUUUUUUGCGCAGCAAACGCUAGACAUAUUUGAGAGAGCAGAGCAGAACUGCGAAACGUUCAAAACAGAAAUAGUGGAGUGGGUGUAAAGAAAUAAAAAGCCGAAGUAAUUGCGAAAUCAAAGUUAACUGUAUGUGAGCAAAUAUAAGUAUGUAUGUAUAUACUAUAUUUCUAAAAUUGAGCAAGCAAAAGAAAUACUCUGCAGCUAUCAACUAUGGUUUUUAAUAUUCUGUAAAAGAUUUUUUAAACGCAAUGUUAAGACAAAAGUUAAAAAUAGACACAAAAUCAAAUAUGAACAACAACAACUAUGAUAAAUAAACUUCCUAAAAAAUGCCAGAACUUUUAGUAAAAAUUGAGGAAAAAUGUUUAUUAGUCUUACGACUACUUCAAUUUCGGUUCGGUUCGCGAUUAAGAUUGAUCGGCUCGGUUCGUGUAUGUGUAAAACGUGUAUGGAUCGGCUCGGUGCGCGUGUGUAAGCUGUGUAUACUACAGGCAAGUGCUGUCAAGUGUUGUUAGUUUUAUAAAAGUGGAGUGUUCAAAGAAAAGUUAAUAAGUAGUGAAAUCAAUUAUUUUAUAAAAAGUUCAUGUCAAUACAAAAAGGUGUCGCCUUUUUAAAAAUAUAAGUGAUAAAGGAAAAAAAAUAAAGUAGUCUAAUUAAUUAUUUUAUAAAAAAAGUUCAAUUGUAUGUAAAAAUGUGCCAUCUUUUAAAAAUAUAAGUGGUAAAGGCAAAAAAAUGCAAGUGAAAAAAUAAAUGUGUUUCUUUUCCAAAAAUAAAAGAGGCAAAAAAAAAGUGAGUGCCCAAAUUGUGUUCGAUUCGUUUCAUAUAAUAAUCGUUAUUUCUUUCGUUCUCGUUUAAUAAAAAAUUACUACAUAUAUUGUAAAAAAAUAUAAUCGUUAUAUCGUUCGUUCUCGUUUAAUAAAAAAAAUAUAAUAUCGUAAAAAAUCAAGGAGCUGCUGGAGAUGGUUUCAACUUAAAAGAGUCAUUUA